Molecule: ribosomal RNA, 499 nt
Filed under: uncultured bacterium
Lineage: Bacteria
Description: partial 16S ribosomal RNA
Rfam family: Bacterial small subunit ribosomal RNA
Source: RNAcentral
ACUCAAAGGAAUUGACGGGGGCCCGCACAAGCGGUGGAGCAUGUGGUUCAAUUCGACGCAACGCGAAGAACCUUACCUGGGCUCGAACGGCUCCUUAACGAUCGUAGAAAUACGGUUACCCCGCAAGGGGGUGGAGUCGAGGUGCUGCAUGGCUGUCGUCAGCUCGUGUCGUGAGAUGUUGGGUUAAGUCCCGCAACGAGCGCAACCCUCGCCCUUAGUUGCCAUCCCGCAAGGGGGCACUCUAGGGGGACUGCCACGGAUAACGUGGAGGAAGGUGGGGAUGACGUCAAGUCCUCAUGGCCUUUAUGUCCAGGGCUACACACGUGCUACAAUGGUCGGUACAAUCCGUCGCCAACUCGCGAGAGGGAGCCAAUCGGAAAAAGCCGACCUCAGUUCGGAUUGCAGUCUGCAACUCGGCUGCAUGAAGCUGGAAUCGCUAGUAAUGGCAGAUCAGCAUGCUGCCGUGAAUACGUUCCCGGGCCUUGUACACACCGCCCGU